AACAGUUUAAUUGAUACGCUUUUAUGAAGAAGUGGGUUUUUAACGAUUUUUUGAAGGAGUGGAGACUGGGUGAGCAUCUAACGGAGGAGGGAAGCGAGUUCCACAGGAACGGUGCAGCCCUCGAGAAAUCUUGAAGGCGAGCAUCAGAGGUGGGAGUACGGACAGAAGAUAGACUUCAGCAGAUUGUAAGGGCCUAGACAGGACAUACUUGUGUAUAAGGGAGGAUAGAUAGGUGGGAGCAGCAUUAUGUAGAGAUUUGAAAGCAAGAACCCGAAUUUUAAAUUGAGCUCUAUAUUUUAUAGGAAGCCAAUGUAGGGACUGACAGAAGGGUGAGGCAUGGGAGGUGCGGG
Non-coding RNA from Pelobates cultripes (western spadefoot toad), 350 nucleotides. The record is from the annotation of a GenBank genome assembly. Lineage: Eukaryota; Metazoa; Chordata; Amphibia; Anura; Pelobatidae.